RNAcentral lists this long non-coding RNA (224 nucleotides) under Capsicum annuum. RNAcentral describes it as "long non-coding RNA (CANN_LNC014453)". The record is from RNAcentral. Lineage: Eukaryota; Viridiplantae; Streptophyta; Magnoliopsida; Solanales; Solanaceae.
CAUUCCUGUCAAUAGAGGGUUUGACCCUUAGUAUCAAUCCCUGCAUUACAAAACUACAUAGCCAACAUAGUUUGAGAUAUCUUCCUUCCAGAUAGUAUAAGGGUUGAUAUAUCUCAUUUAAGUUUUCCUUCCAGCGAGGGUUGAUGAAAGAGCUUCCUAUCAGAAAGGGUUAACUCAAAGCUUGUCUCUACCGGUGGCACGGUACUGACACCCUUCCAACUAGG